UUGGCAUAUCGCGAGGAUAUGCCAGAGAGGUGCAGCGUGCUCCCCAUUCUUCACUAUGGGAGCUCCAAAAAUAAUCGAGCCCGGGCGCCUGGCUAUUUUCAGAAGUCCCAUGGCAGUGAAUGGAGAGCGCACCGUGCAUGUAUGGCUGCCUCUUCAUUCACCGUUGCGCCAAAGGUGCAGGACAGGACUUGUCCCCUCUCCUGUCAUGUCUGUUUCAGUAACUACUCACAUUCCCCAUGUAACAACAAUUCUGGGGCACCAAUUCCUAUGGUUCUAUGUUGUGCCAAUCCUUUAUUAUUCCUGCUAGAAGUGAUCAAUGCAUUACUAGCAUCUGAAAUAAUGGUCCAGUUGGGUGUUACCAGUUGGGGGAGUGUCCAUGAACAGUUUGACACUAUAUAAUCGGUGCUGCCAGUGUCAGAAUGUGCUCAAACUUGUAACACCCAUUGCAAACCGAUAGCAAUUCAUAACUCCUAGCAGGAAUAAUAGAGGAAUUGUACAACAUACAGUCAUAAGAAUAGACGGUUCAGAACUGUUAUUACAUGGGGAAUGCAAGUAGUUACUAAAACAGACAAGUUAGGAGAGGGGACAGCUCCUCUUUAAAGGGGUGUUCCAGGAUAUAUAUUAAUGGCUGCUAGUGUAUAACCAGUGGGAGUCCUAACCUCGGGGGGGGGGGGGGGGGGGGUCCCAUCACCGAACAGCUUCAUCCAUACGUAUGGCUAUGACUAAAAACUACGCAAAGCCCUAUCCACUAGAAUGGCAGAAGCAGCAGUACCUUUGUGUCCUGACAGUAGGCCAUCAAUCUCAGAAAACCCCUUUUGGGUAAGGCCACGCGUAGUCACUACAGUAUAUAAUUUGUAGGAACAGUCUAUAUCAAACACAUAAAGUUGCU
Long non-coding RNA from Bufo bufo (common toad), 889 nucleotides. RefSeq lists it as uncharacterized. The record is from RefSeq and is a predicted model, not a curated record. Lineage: Eukaryota; Metazoa; Chordata; Amphibia; Anura; Bufonidae. The transcript has 3 exons.